This 33-nucleotide transfer RNA is filed under the name Begonia henryi. RNAcentral's name for it is "partial tRNA-Phe". The record is from RNAcentral. Lineage: Eukaryota; Viridiplantae; Streptophyta; Magnoliopsida; Cucurbitales; Begoniaceae.
GCCGGGAUAGCUCAGUUGGUAAAGCAAAGGACU